AAACCUCCAACGCUUAUCAGGGUGAAGAUGUCACAUGUGAUGCCCCAGCGGCCCUGCUACUUACGGCGAAUUUGUGAAUUUCAGAUGCUUUUCACGGAUCGAUUUUCGUGAACAACGCAGAUGAGCCAGCACACACACGACGUGGGAAAAUGAACAGAUACGUCACGGAAAUGUUGAAAGACAUCAAAUGAGGCAUACGCCUCACCCAUGCAACUCCGUCAUCUGCUCCACGGCAGUGCAAGCCUUUACAGCUGUGUCUUUGAAUGUAAAAAUUGUGAAUGGUAUUAAUAAAUAAAGGGAAGUAGACAGUA
This is a long non-coding RNA of Ornithodoros turicata, 311 nucleotides long. RefSeq lists it as uncharacterized. The record is from RefSeq and is a predicted model, not a curated record. Lineage: Eukaryota; Metazoa; Arthropoda; Arachnida; Ixodida; Argasidae. The transcript has 2 exons.